GGAGGCGGACGAGGCGUGGCGCGUGACGCACCACUACUUCCACUUCGACCCGCUGCACGGCAACCACCGCGUGGAGGACGUCAACUUCCAGUGGACGGACGGCGUGUUCGGCGUGGCGCUGUCGCGGCCCGACGCGCAGGGCGAGCGCACCGUCUUCUUCCAGGCGCUGUCCAGCCUGCGCGAGUUCUCGGUGCCGGCCGGCGUGCUGCGCAACCGCACGGCCGCGCUCGCCGCCGGGCCCGACUCCUACUACCACUACCGGGACCUCGGCUUCAAGGGCAACGACACGCAGGCCACCGCCUCCUACCUCGACCUCGGCACCGGCGUGCUCUUCUUCACGCAGCUGAACCGCAACGGCGUGGCGUGCUGGAACACGCAGAAGCCCCUGGAGCCGGCCAACGUGCACUUGUUGGUCAGCGACGGCGAGCGCUUCUCCUUCCCCAACGACCUCAAGGUGGACGCCGAGGGCACCCUCUGGGUGCUCACCGACCGCCUGCCCGUCUACGUGUACAAGGGCGGCCUCGACCCCAACACGGUCAACUACCGCAUCUUCUCCACGGCCGUCAAAGACCUCAUCAAGGGCACCGUCUGCGAGGCGUAGUUGGUCGCCGAGGCUCGACGAUGACGCCGCAGAACUGUCCAGCGCAGCACUUCUAUUCAGCUCCCCUCCUCGCUCUUUUGUUAUGCUAACAACUCUGUGAAGGCGUAUAGUCAUCUGAGGACCUGAACUUUUCAUCAGUUAUGUUUUUUUAUUCAACACUCUCGUCUCCGCUCGUCGAAACCUCUUAGUCGGCGAAACUCUACUACUUUUUUUCUUCUGCUCGUGGAGCAACGAUUAGUCAAAAGAGCACUUGGAACUCGCCUUAUUAAAGGACUAGACGCUUUAUCACACCGCACCCAAUCUAUCAAAGCAUCAGUAUUGUUGUAUCAAAUUAUAAUGUGGGUUUAGAUCCAUCAAGACCUGACAUUUGGCAGAAAAAACGCUUACGGUGAUCAGUGAGGUGUGUUUGGAUAAACGUAGCUUAAGGUAAUGUCUGGGUUCCAAUCUUUUAAUCUCCGUGAGGAGCAGAAUAUUCCUCUGGUGAACAGACUGUUUUAUUCAUGAGCUACAAAAACAUUUGUUCUGCGGUUCGUAAUCAUCAAAUUAAAAUGUUUUCGUUAAUAGCUCAUAAUAAAAGGACGUCCAUUAAAAUGGAAAAAAGUAAUGUUGCAUGCGAAAUACAAGAUAAUAAGUGCCAAAAUAUACGCACAUAUCUUUAAAAAAUUAUAUGUAAGCUCAUUUUCUUCCAUUUAGAGGUAUACUGUCACUUUUUAACAUGAAAAAGAAGUACGAAAAAGCUACGGCACAGUUACAGCGUGAAAACUGCGAAUGAGAACGCAGCGUUAUUCUUUCCCCGUAGUAUUUGAGGAACUCAGCACUCCUUUAAAAUGACCCGUAGUAUUUGAGGAACUUAGCACUCCUUUAAAAUGAAAUACGUACCUGUCCUUUAUUUCUGGAGGCAACAACUGCAGCAUAUUACACUUAUGUCCAAUACGUGUUUGCUAUCUGCCACUUUUUGCUAUAAUGCUAUAUGUUUCGAUACAAGAAAUGUGCUAUAGUUUGAGCAAGUGCAGAAAAAGUAAAUACUUAAGACAUAUACGACAUAUUUUAUAAAUGCCUUUUGUUUCAGUGACCUUAUGUUUGAUAAUGGGCGUAUCCAGUAUUAAAUCACCAAGUCGUUUGUCUGUGUGCUCUAAUUUUAUCGAUAAAAUUUAGACACCGAAUUUCCCAUUAACAGUGCAGUCACUGCCGUGUGACUUCAUGCUAAUCUAUCAUUCCUCUGACGAAUGUAACAGUUCAGUAGUUCAGGGAAAUGAUGUGCUAAUAGCUAUUGAGUCACAGCCACAUACAAGUGGGAAAUAAACAGAGAUGUGGCGUUAAGACACACUUUUACAGAUACACAGGAAACGAGAGCAAAUGUGGUGCUGAACACAAACCGAUAGAGGUGGACUUAAAUUUUAUAUUAUGUUUUCUGAAGUGUGUUAUAUUUCGAGAAAGGAAGGUAUUGAAUAUCAGCUGUCCAAAUUACGUUGUGAGUAAAUACUUCAUUUCUACGUGUCUACAUAUAUGAAAACACUUGGACUUUGUAUCUGAGUAAUCGAUUCCCGUGCAUUUGCCAUACUUCAUUUAAACAUUUUCUGUCUGCCCUUAUCGUCUCUUUUCUGACAUUCUGUCAUUCAAGUACUGCAGACAGUUCACUAGAACCAUUUGUACCAACCAGAUAUAAAGAAAACUAUGGGCAGGUGCUCCCACGUUACAUAGGAAUAUUAUAUUUCUUUUGUUGUUAAAGUAUAAAUUGAUACUUUUCAUGAUGAGAAAGUGAACUGUAAUUCAUACACAAAAGACGACAUAAAAGUAAUAAAAUUUUUGUACAUUU
Molecule: long non-coding RNA, 2417 nt
Organism: Schistocerca serialis cubense
Lineage: Eukaryota; Metazoa; Arthropoda; Insecta; Orthoptera; Acrididae
Exons: 2
Source: RefSeq, a predicted model, not a curated record